GUGUCAGCAGCCGCGGUAAGACGAGCCACCCAAACGUUAUUCGGAAUCACUGGGCUUAAAGCGUGCGUAGGCGGCCUGCAAAGUUGGGUGUGAAAUCCCUCGGCCUAACCGAGGAAUUGCGCCCAAAACUAGUGGGCUAGAGGGAGAUAGAGGUAAGCGGAACUGAUGGUGGAGCGGUGAAAUGUGUUGAUAUCAUCAGGAACACCGGUGGCGAAAGCGGCUUACUGGGUCUUUACUGACGCUGAGGCACGAAAGCCAGGGUAGCGAACGGGAUUAGAUACCCUAGUAGUCC
This 292-nucleotide ribosomal RNA is filed under the name uncultured bacterium. RNAcentral describes it as "partial 16S ribosomal RNA". It matches the Rfam family "Bacterial small subunit ribosomal RNA", at positions 505 to 796 of the family's 1533-position model. The record is from RNAcentral.